AGUCGAGCGAGGUCCAUCCAGUGGUAACACUGGUGAAGACCUAGCGGCGAACGGGUGAGUAACACGUGAGAAACCUGCCCCGAAGACUGGGAUAACUCUCCGAAAGGAGAGCUAAUACCAGAUGCCCUCACCGGGCCGCAUGACUUGGUGAGGAAAUGGAUUCCGCUUCGGGAGGGUCUCGCGGCCUAUCAGCUUGUUGGUGAGGUAACGGCUCACCAAGGCUUCGACGGGUAGCUGGUCUGAGAGGAUGAUCAGCCACACUGGGACUGAGACACGGCCCAGACUCCUACGGGAGGCAGCAGUGGGGAAUCUUGCGCAAUGGGCGAAAGCCUGACGCAGCAACGCCGCGUGGGGGAUGAAGGCUCUCGGGUUGUAAACCCCUUUCAGCAGGGAAGAUUAUGACGGUACCUGCAGAAGAAGCCCCGGCCAACUACGUGCCAGCAGCCGCGGUAAUACGUAGGGGGCAAGCGUUGUCCGGAUUUAUUGGGCGUAAAGAGCUUGUAGGCGGCUUGGUAAGUCGAGUGUGAAAACUCCAGGCUCAACCUGGAGACGCCAUUCGAUACUGCCAUGGCUAGAGUCCGGUAGAGGAGCACGGAAUUCCUGGUGUAGCGGUGAAAUGCGCAGAUAUCA
RNAcentral lists this ribosomal RNA (630 nucleotides) under uncultured bacterium. RNAcentral describes it as "bacterial SSU rRNA". It matches the Rfam family "Bacterial small subunit ribosomal RNA", at positions 60 to 699 of the family's 1533-position model. The record is from RNAcentral.